This 867-nucleotide ribosomal RNA is filed under the name uncultured bacterium. RNAcentral describes it as "bacterial SSU rRNA". It matches the Rfam family "Bacterial small subunit ribosomal RNA", at positions 54 to 943 of the family's 1533-position model. The record is from RNAcentral.
CAUGCAGUCGAACGGUAGUUGUCCUUCGGGGCGAUGAGAGUGGCGAACGGGUGAGNACCGUAACUGAUCUGCCCUGUAGACUGGGAUAACCUUUGGAAACAGAGGCUAAUACCGGAUAAUCUCAUGUUAGUUAGAGAGGCAUGAGGAAAUGCUAAGGUGCUAUGGGAUGAGGUUGCGGGCCAUCAGCUAGUUGGUGAGGUAAGAGCUUACCAAGGCGAUGACGGAUAGGGGACCUGAGAGGGUGGCCCCCCACACUGGGACUGAGACACGGCCCAGACUCCUACGGGAGGCAGCAGUAAGGGAUAUUGCACAAUGGACGGAAGUCUGAUGCAGCGACGCCGCGUGGGUGAAGAAGGUUUUCGGAUCGUAAAGCCCUUUUCUAUGUGACGAGAGAGGACGGUAGCAUAGGAAUAAGUGUCGGCUAACUACGUGCCAGCAGCCGCGGUAAAACGUAGGACGCGAACGUUAUCCGGAGUUACUGGGCGUAAAGCGCGUGCAGGCGGUUUGUUAAGUUACCUAUGAAAGUUACUGGCUAAACUGGUAAUGGUUAGGUGAAACUGGCAGACUAGAGAGAAAUAGAGGGAAGUAGAAUUCCGGGUGUAGUGGUGAAAUGCGUAGAUAUCCGGAGGAAUACCGGUGGCGAAGGCGGCUUCCUGGAUUUCCACUGACGCUGAGGCGCGAAAGCGUGGGUAGCGAACGGGAUUAGAAACCCCGGUAGUCCACGCCGUAAACGAUGUACAUUAGGCGUUCGGUUACGCAAGUCAUUCGAGUGUCGCAUCAAACGCGAUAAUGUGCCGCCUGGGGAGUACGGUCGCAAGGCUAAAACUCAAGGAAUUGACGGGGCCCGCACAAGCAGCGGAGCGUGUG